UGUAGGAGUGAGCCUGCUCGCGAUGGCGUCAGCCCAGCCAACAUUGAUGUUGCCUGACACACCGCUAUCGCGAGCAGGCUCACUCCUACA
RNAcentral lists this unclassified non-coding RNA (90 nucleotides) under Pseudomonas granadensis. Lineage: Bacteria; Pseudomonadati; Pseudomonadota; Gammaproteobacteria; Pseudomonadales; Pseudomonadaceae. The record is from RNAcentral.